This 645-nucleotide ribosomal RNA is filed under the name bacterium HZ1-35. Its description in RNAcentral is "bacterial SSU rRNA". It matches the Rfam family "Bacterial small subunit ribosomal RNA", at positions 338 to 974 of the family's 1533-position model. The record is from RNAcentral.
CCUACGGGAGGCAGCAGUAGGGAAUCUUCGGCAAUGGGCGAAAGCCUGACCGAGCAACGCCGCGUGAGCGAUGAAGGCCUUCGGGUCGUAAAGCUCUGUUGUUAGAGAAGAACAAGUACGAGAGUAACUGCUCGUACCUUGACGGUACCUAACCAGAAAGCCACGGCUAACUACGUGCCAGCAGCCGCGGUAAUACGUAGGUGGCAAGCGUUAUCCGGAAUUAUUGGGCGUAAAGCGCGCGCAGGCGGUCUCUUAAGUCUGAUGUGAAAGCCCACGGCUCAACCUCGUGGAGGGUCAUUGGAAACUGGGAGACUUGAGUGCAGGAGAGAAAAGUGGAAUUCCACGUGUAGCGGUGAAAUGCGUAGAGAUGUGGAGGAACACCAGUGGCGAAGGCGGCUUUUUGGCCUGUAACUGACGCUGAGGCGCGAAAGCGUGGGGAGCAAACAGGAUUAGAUACCCUGGUAGUCCACGCCGUAAACGAUGAGUGCUAGGUGUUGGGGGGUUCCACCCUCAGUGCUGAAGUUAACACAUUAAGCACUCCGCCUGGGGAGUACGACCGCAAGGUUGAAACUCAAAGGAAUUGACGGGGGCCCGCACAAGCAGUGGAGCAUGUGGUUUAAUUCGAAGCAACGCGAAGAACCUUAC